CCUACGGGUGGCAGCAGUGAGGAAUAUUGGUCAAUGGACGAGAGUCUGAACCAGCCAAGUCGCGUGAGGGAUGACGGUCCUACGGAUUGUAAACCUCUUUUGCCGGGGAGCAAGCGUGCGUUCGUGAACGCACGUCGAGAGUACCCGGAGAAAAAGCAUCGGCUAACUCCGUGCCAGCAGCCGCGGUAAUACGGAGGAUGCGAGCGUUAUCCGGAUUUAUUGGGUUUAAAGGGUGCGUAGGCGGGAUGCCAAGUCAGCGGUAAAAAUGCGGUGCUCAACGCCGUCGAGCCGUUGAAACUGGCGUUCUUGAGUGGGCGAGAAGUAUGCGGAAUGCGUGGUGUAGCGGUGAAAUGCAUAGAUAUCACGCAGAACUCCGAUUGCGAAGGCAGCAUACCGGCGCCCUACUGACGCUGAGGCACGAAAGCGUGGGUAUCGAACAGGAUUAGAUACCCUGGUAGUC
This 460-nucleotide ribosomal RNA is filed under the name uncultured bacterium. RNAcentral describes it as "partial 16S ribosomal RNA". It matches the Rfam family "Bacterial small subunit ribosomal RNA", at positions 338 to 795 of the family's 1533-position model. The record is from RNAcentral.